RNAcentral lists this ribosomal RNA (248 nucleotides) under uncultured bacterium. RNAcentral's name for it is "partial 16S ribosomal RNA". It matches the Rfam family "Bacterial small subunit ribosomal RNA", at positions 524 to 771 of the family's 1533-position model. The record is from RNAcentral.
UACGUAGGGUGCAAGCGUUGUCCGGAAUUAUUGGGCGUAAAGAGCUCGUAGGCGGUUUGUUGCGUCGGCUGUGAAAACCUGAGGCUCAACCUCAGGCCUGCAGUCGAUACGAGCAGACUAGAGUGUUGCAGGGGAGACUGGAAUUCCUGGUGUAGCGGUGAAAUGCGCAGAUAUCAGGAGGAACACCGGUGGCGAAGGCGGGUCUGUGGGCAGCAACUGACGCUGAGGAGCGAAAGCGGGGGGAGCGA